AUCAGAAGCAGAAGCGCCCUGGUGAUUCUAUGCCACACCACCAUUCCCCAGGAAAAUGUUCUCCACUGAGACAAAAUCCUUAAAUUUUUAGAAUGGCCUUAUUAUGGAUUACAGCAAACAUCUCAGCACAUCUUUCUCAGCAAGGAUCUCAAAACAGCAUUGGGAUGGCCUUAUUAAUAGAUCCCUUACGAAAACUCAGAAAAGUUAGAGAGGCACUCAGAAUCUUCCUAAAAUAUGAAAUGUUGAAAUCUGGAUUCUUUUUUUACCAUGACUGCAAAAUGUAAGCCACUACUUGGGCUCACCUUGUUGAAUCAGAUUUCUUCUACUUUGCCAUUUUGAUGAUAUCACUCCCAGGUAUGUUUUUUUCUUUUUUUUUCCUUUUCUUUUUCCUUUCUUUUCUCUUUCUUUUUUUUUUUUUUUUUUUUUUUUGAGACAGAGUUGUGCUCCUGUUGCCCAGGCUGGAGUGCAAUGGCACGAUCUCUGUAGGCUCACUGCAACCUCCACCUCCCCAGUUCAAGCAAUUCUCCUGCCUCAGCCUCCCGAGUAGCUGAGAUCACAGGAGCCUGCCACGACGCCCAGAUAAAUUUUUGUAUUUUUUUAGUAGAGAUGGGGUUUCACCAUGUUGGCCAGGCUGGUCUUGAACUCCUGACCUCCAGUCAUCUGCCCACCUAUGCCUACCAAAGUGCUCACUCCCAGAAGAAAAAGAAUCGAAUAGCUGGGCCACAGUGUUAUAGGAUUUAUGCAGCUCCCCCUUCGUCUUCCACCAUGAUUGUAAGCUUCCUGAGGCCUCACUAGAAGAUGAACAGAUGCCAACACCAUGCUUCCUGUAAAAUCUUCAGAACUGUUUUUUCCACUUCCCCAGAUGGUGUCUGUGGGAUUGGCUCUCACUUUCAAGCUUCACUGACCCUAGAUGAUGGACUAGGAUCUGCUUUGGACAUCUGAGCCCAGGCUAAAGUAGGCAAAGGACAAGAGCUGCCCGCUCUUUCAGAAGCAUCUCUCAGAGAGUGACAUCCCCCUGCACACAGCUGCCAUGUCUGUAUGGCUGACUUGGGAGAAAUGCCAGAAAGGUUGGCAUGAGUGAGCAACUGUGAGGAGACCAUCAGAUGGAAACACCCAAGAGGAAGUUAAAUCCAGCCCCUGGCAGAGUAGAGGUCUUGGAAUGAUGUGGAAAAGAGCGUGGACUUCAUGCUGAGGAAGUGAAGCAUUCUUCAGUCCAGAGUUGCCCACUGUGUGCACCAAAUGUUGAUGAUUGCCUCUGGCCAUGGGCAAAUUUAUCUGUGUGCUCCUGAGUUCUACAUUGAUAUUAUUUUCUAUGGGCCCUGAAAUGAAAACUUCAGGGAAAAGCUUUUCUUAGACGUUAGGGUUUUAAAGAUAGUUCUUAAGAAAAGUAAUGGGGACAUGCCUGGUAGUAGAAAGAACAGAUGUGUAGUAAGGUGAAAAGUGAUUAAGGGGGAAGAGCAGUGGAGUGAGGAAUGAAAGUUUAAAGGCUUGUGAUAUGAUCAAGAGAUCAUUUUCAGUCUAGCAGAUAAUCAGAAAAGUAAAAACCUAAGAUAUUUCUUAUUUUAAAUUUUUUUAAAGAAGAGCUCAAGCAACACAGUGGGAGUUUUUUGAGGCAGGUGGACAACAUACUCAAAUGAAUAGCUGAUUUUAUUUCAUACAUGAAGGAAAAUAGCCAAAAAUGUUCAUCAAAUGAGAUAAAAGCCUGUGAAUGAUUAUCCCUAAGGAAUUCUUCCACCUGCUGGCCCUUGGAGAACUAGAUUGCCUCCUUUUAAAAAUCCUCAACAGUUGUUCAAAGAUCUGGCAAAUUCAUUAUCACCUCUAAUAGCUUCUAAUUAAACUGUUAUAGUAAAGCUGUAGGAUUUUUUAAAAGUCACCCAUGCACAAUAACACCUGUUAAGUGUUCUCACAUGUUGAGCCCAGAUUCAGAAAGAGUACACACCUGCUCUAUGGCAUGCUAUCUUACCUCAAAUACAGGCACUCAGACGGUUCCUUCAGGAAGGGACCUCUGAGACCAGAGACUGCUGGGGACAUGGUGGGCAUCCUCUUUCCAGCAAUACUCAAAUAGGAACUGGAUGACUUUCCCGAAGUGUCUACAGCAAAGAACACUCUAUUAUUCAUUUAAGCUGUCAAGUUGUGGUGUUUCUGACAAGCUGUGGCAAAUAUGUAGAGACCUAAUGAAAAACACAAUAUCAUUAUGCUUACCCAGUGCCUUAUAACUCAAAAUGCAAGUCCAUGUGAUGAAUUUAAUCAGGCAUUAACACAUGAUUGAGUUCUUAUGAUGUUCCUGAUACUUUGCUUAGUAGUGGGAUAGAAAGGUGAGAUCAUUAACCUCACAAACCUUGGAAUGCAGUGGAGAAGGAAGAGCCUCUACCCAUAGGACACUGAGCUCAUUUGAUUUGGUUUCUGCCCCCCCACCCCUAGCCUUUUCAGGAGGGCAGGGCAGGUGUUCUUCACACUUUUACCACAGUGUCAGUGCUUGGCCAACGUCUUAUAGUUUAUAAGUGGCCAAAUCUUGGACAAUCCUCUGGUUAUUUGGGAUCUUCCCCUUGAUCUCUUUCCUCCACAGCAGACUUUCAACAAUUCUAUGUUCCUCAGAAUAUCCUGUCUCUCUCAGCAGAAGGUUCUAGAACAUAAUUGCUAGGCCCAGAUUCAUGAAAAAGGUGGCAGCUGGCAUUUUCCAUCAAGGGAGCUUUUUAAUAAUGAAUAAUCCCAUGAUAUAUUUAUCUUCUUUAAAACUAUUGCAAUUCAGACUGAAGAAUAACAACAAUUCUCUGUCCCUCAUGAAACCAGUAAUUAAUUGCAAUGAGGACCUAAGGUUGCCACCUUACAUGCUGGCAUCUAGGAGACCCAGGGGCAAUGGAAACACAGGCCUAGUUGCAGUUCUGAGGAAGGGGCUUCUGAGAGCUUCAUGGCACAAGACAAGAGAACAAUUCUGAUUCUUUCAGGGUAAUUCCCUGUUUCCAAAAAAGUGAGGAAAAGCACAUCCUAAGGGAAGCUGUCUUUGUGAGACGAGUUAGCUCUUAGGCAUGACUAAAGUUUGCUGCUUUUCCCAUGUUUUCUUUUUUUUUUUUUUUCUUUUGUUCUGGAUGAAGUUUAGAGAAAAAGGAAGGCAGUAUUCUUGGCCUUCAGUGGACUGAACCCAGCAUGAAUUCUACCUCAAAGCUGAGGUGGCUCAAAAUAAUAUUUCUUGAGUACUUGCAUUAUUCUAUGUUUAGUGCCUACUGCUUUCACAUAUCAAUAUCAAUAUCUAUACUUGUACAUACCUUGCGUGUGUGUGUGUAUACAUACACCUGUACACACACACAGAAAGAGAGGAAGGGUAAAAAUUACAUAUAUAUAUAUAUAUAUAUGUAUAUAUGCAUACAUAUAUAUUUACCAUGUCACAUAGUAAUAUAAUGAAAAGUUUUACAAUGUCUCCAAAAAUUUGGCAUCCGUUCAGUUUUAUAGAAGAUGAAAAUGAAAUCAUUAUAUAAUUAUAAUAAAAAAAUAGGUAACUAUGAUAUGGAGUUCUCUGUAUAAUAGUCUUUGCUCCAAGCAUUCUUUGAUACACUAACUCAUUUAUCCUUAAAAAAAAAAAAAACCAAAGAAAGCACAGAAACAAAAACAAAACUAUGAAAUGAGUACUAUUAAAAUGGUUCCUAAUUUUAAAAUGAGGACAUACUGACACAGAGACAUUAAAAGACCUGUUCAUGGUCCUCACAAUUAAAAAGUGGCAGGUUUCUCAGGUGAUGAGUGUAGGAGAAAACUUUCACAAAUUCUGCAUCCGACAAAAGACUAAUAUCCAGACUCUACAAGGAACUCAAACAAAUUAGCAAGAAAAAAAAACAAUCCCAUCAAAAAGUAGACUAAGAAUGUGAGUAGACAAUUCUCAACAGAAAAUAUACAAAUGGCCAAGAAAUAUGAAAAAAUGUUCAACAUCAUUAAUUAUCAGGGAAAUGCAAAUCAAAACCACAAUGCGAUACCACCUUACUCCUGCAAGAAUGGCCGUAAUUAAAAAUUUAAAAAGUAGUAUGUCGGCAUGGGUGUGACGAAGAGGGAACACUUUUACACUGCUGUUGGGAAUGUAAACUACUACAACCACUAUGGAAAACAGUGUGGAGAUUCCUUAAAGAGCUAGAAGUAGAACUACCAUUUGAUCCAGCAGUCUCACUACUAGGUAUCUACUCAGAGAAAAAGAAGUCAUUAUAUGAAAAAGACACUUGCACAUGCAUGUUUAUAGCAGCACAAUUUGCAACUGCAAAAACAUGGAACCAGCCCAAAUGCUCUUCAUCAACAAGAGUGGAUAAAGAAAACGUGGUGUAUAUAUACUAUGGAAUACUACUCAGCCACAAAAAGGAAUGAAAUAAUGGCAUUCACAGCAAUCUGGAUGAAACUGGAGACCAUUAUUCUAAGUGAAGUAACUCAGGAAUAGAAAACAAAACAUCGUAUGUUCUCAUUUAUAAAUGGGAGCUAAGCUAUGAGGAUGCAAAGGCAUAAGGAUGAUACAAUAGAUUUGGCAGACUCAAGGGGAAGGGUGGGAGGGGGAUGAAGAAUAAAAGACUACACAUUGGGUAAAGUGUACACUGCUCAGGUUAUGGGUGCAUCAUCAUCACAGAAAUCACCACUGAAGAACUUAUUCAUUCAACCAAACACCACCUGUUCCCCCCAAAACUAUUGAAAUAAAAAAAAAUAAAAGUAUUACAAGUAGACCUCAAGAAAAAAGAAAUUAUCAUAAGCCUGAUAGCUUAAAACAACACAAAUUUAUUACCUCACAAUCUGGAAGUCAGAAGUCUGAAACGGAUCUCCCUGGGCUAAAAUCAAGGAGUCAGCAGGGCUGAAUUCCUUUCUGGAGGUUUUAGGGGAGAAUCUGUUAUCUUGUCUUUUCUGGAUUCUAGUAGCUGCCCACAUUCCUUGGGUUGUGGUUCCCUUUUUUUUUUCAAGACCAGCAAUGGCCAAUGGAGUCUUUCUCACAUUGCAUCACCCUAAGACUAAUUUUCCUGCCUUUGUUUUUCACCUUGUGAUUAUACUGGGCCCACCAUGAAAAUCCAGGACAGUCUCUCCAUCUCAACAUUUAUAAUUCAAUCACGGAUUCUGAGGUUUAGGAUGAGGAUAUCAUUGUGGGUACCAUUAUUCUGCCUAUUACACCAACUAAUAGGAUAUCACUGGGGGAUCCUUAUUCUGCCUAUUAUACCAAGUAUCUGAAUGCAGCAGUUUACAAGAGAAUACAUCAAUUUGUCCAUAUUUUUCAAAAUGGAAAAUAUGUAUAUUUAACCCAGUAAUUCUAUUUCUGGAGAUUUAUGCUAAAGAAAUAUUCACAUAUGAACAUAAAAAUAUUUACGAAGAAGUUAAUUGCAGCACUAACUGGGCAGGCAAACAUGGACAUGAUGAGCCUCAGGGCUCAGCAGCAGCAGAGACAGCAGAGAUAAGUUACAGCCUGUCCUUGCAAAGGAUUCCUGAGCCCCUUCCUAUGUCCUCUCCUGGUGAGUCUUUUGCUCUCUCAUUCUGAUGCAGCCACAGUGGCAUCCUUGCCUCCUCCUCAGUCAGACCAUAGCCCUUUGCUCUUCCUCUUCAUGCACUUCCCUCAAAUCUCCAUUCAAAUGUCACCUUCUCUUUCCCCUUUCCAGACCACAUCCUGUGUCCAACUUAGCCAUGCUUAUCUUUCUCUGCAGCACCUAUUUCCAACUGACAAGCUGUAUAUUUACCUAUUUAUAUGUUUGUUUAUCUACCUACACUAGAAUAUAAGCUCUUCAAGGGAAGGAAUUUUUCUAUACAGACCAUUAUUUUAUUUGCAGUACCUGGUAUAGCACCGGCAUUUACUAGGAACCUAACAGAAAUAUUUGUAGAAUGAAUGAGUGGGUGAAUGGAUAUACUCAUUAAAAAGAGAUUAAAAGAUGUCUAAGAUGAAUUGCUUAACGAAAAUAUUUCUUGAAUAACAAUUUGUUAUGCCAUAUAUAUAGAUAUAGAUAUAGAUAUAUAGAUAUAUAGAUUCAUUCCUGUAAAUACUAUUGAAACAUCUACAUAGCCAUACCUAAUACAUGAUACCUAAAUGUGAUCUGUGGCUUUUGCUAUUUACUUUAUUAUUUCUGAAUUAUAAUAAACAAUAACCAUGUAUCUUUUCUGUGGUCAGAAAAAAGUUUUAAAUGAAUUUAAAAAAUCUGAAUCUAGGUUUAUAAUCCAAGUCAAAUGCUGCCUUCUCACUAUGUAUCAACUGCCUUGGAAAGAAAACUUCAUUUUAAUUUUUUCUACCUCUCAGAUGACUGAGCAAAAAUGAAAUUCUAAAGAAGACAUUUGUAUCUGUCAGGAUCUAGUCAAAAUACAGGAACUACUCUUGGUAUUUCAUACUGAAAAAAAUUGUAAGAAAGGAAUUGAUUACAUGAGUGAUAGAAGAAAGAAAAUCCAGGCUGGGGUCUGUGAGGAAAUAGUGAUUAAGUAAUGGAUGAAACUGACGCUGAGCCUGGGGGGACUAGAGAUGAUGUAUUCUUACCAGAAUCCAAAACUUGGGCCACUUAGCUGAAGUUGCACUCAUGAUGGAUAUAUGGAGGGAAGUCCUAGACAAUGGGACGUAGAACUGCUAAAGAUGUGAAGCUGCUGCUAGAAAUGUUACCCAAAGUGGAGAAAGAUGGGGAGAGACAUCCUCCUUCAUGCCCUGCCAGCCGGUGAUGUUGUUGUCCAAUGACCAAAAUUACUCAGAAACCAGAAGGCGGGGGAGCCUGGGAAAUGCAGUUCCCUGCACUAUAGAACAAGGUGAGGAGAGGGAUUGAAUCUGAGAGGCAGAUGCCUGGUGGGACAGUUGGAAGGAACCAGUGCUAGUCAUCAGAAGCCACAACAGAGUACUUAAGAUAGCUUGCUAUUCCAGUAUGCUGUUAAUGAAAUUCAAUUUACAUCCUAGUCAUCUUGUCAGUGUCCAUCUCUAUGUGCAUUUUGCUUUGUAAUAGAAGUGCAGUGUUCAAUUUGCCUACCAAAAAAAAAAAAAUACAACCAACCAAACAAAAACAACCUUUCAGGACAUACAAACACUCUCAGUUAUAGACAUCUUAAAAGCAAGAUUCUACAUUCUUCGAAUAUCUUCCACUGUGAAUACCAGUCUGUUUAUUCAGGUGAAAACCUAUCAUCAGGAGAAAUAGAGACACAUGCACUGUUUCUAUCUAUCUAUCUAUCUAUCUAUCUAUCUAUCUAUCUAUCUAUCUAUCUAUCUGUCAUGUAUCUACACAGAGAGCUACACACACACACACACAAACACACACACACACACAAACACACAGGCACACACACUAACACACUCAUAUAGAGAGAGAGAUAAAGUCCCUAAGGAAUUUUCAAAAUUAUUUCCUUGACAUUUUGAAGUAAGUGUGUCUGUCUGUAUUGCAUGUAUUGGAGUAAAUAAGCCACAUAUGACAACAAGAGUACAAAGAGAAUGUAGAUAGAAAAACAUAGAAUAUAGAUAGAGAAUAUAGAUAGAUAAUCACAAUAGUGGCAUAGGAAGAUACAUUAUGAUUAGUCCACCAUAAAACUACAAAAAGAGAACUUAGGUGUAUUUGAUAUAUUGUAACAGACUAGUGGACAUUAUAUCCAAUAAGGGUGUUAUUGGUCAGAUUAAUAAGAGGGUAUUAUUCCUCAGAGGCUGCUGAAAUCAACCCCCAUUCAUUAAUAUUCUAUAAAAUAAAUUAGACUACUUGAGCUUCUAAACAUCUGGGAUCAGGUGUAACUUUGAUGGUCCAAGAACAAGUGAUCUGUCAAGAGGCCUGAGGUUUGUACUGAAAUCUAAUGGCAAAAAUGAACUGAAACACUUUGGAGAAGAAACAGCCUGUAGUUUUAAUUUGAUUCUCACUGUCUUCCAAGGAAAAAUUUUCCUGGAUUGCUGAACUUUAGACAUUCUCUGCCUUCUGAAAAUCUCAUCCAUGCUAUGAAUAAAAUUCUCAUUUUAUGGGGAAGAGGAGAAAAUUAAUACAUGUAGUCCUGACUUUACCUCUUCUUUUCCAAUAUCUUGCUGGGUUUGUCUACCUGUUAAUCCACUAUAACUAUUCCAACUUGGUUCAUUCAAAACCAAUCUGGAAGCCAUUCUUCCUCCCCUGUCUUCAUGUUUGUUACAAGUAAUAUGUUUAAGGAUCUCAAUAUCUUUCCAGUGACCCAGGCUCCAUGCUUGGACAACCGAUACUUACUCCUCUGCUGUUUCACCCACACUAUCUUAACAUGCUUUCAAGCUUUACCUCCUAUUUCCACUUCUACUUCUCCAUUCACACUCCUACCAUCCUCAUUCUCACCUGCACUGUUGCAAUAGCCAUCCAAAAACUCAGUGAACUUGCAGACUUGUGCUAAAGUCCAUUCUUCAUACUGCUGUGGAUUAAUCUUUCUAUGGCAUGGUUAGGCUGUUAUUUUGCUUAAAAACAUUCAAAUUUUUGUAAAUUUUAAGUUUAGGGGUACAAGUGCAAGAUUGUUACAUAGGUAAACUUGUGUCAUGGAGGUUUGUUUUAGGAUUAUUUCAUCACCCAGGUAUUAAGCCUGGUACCCACUGGUUAUUUUUUCUGAUCCUCUCUUUCCUCUCAGCCUCCACCCACUGAAAAGCCCCAUUGUGUGUUCUUCCCCUCUAUUUGUCUAUGUGUCCUCAACAUUCAAUAUUUUCUUACUGUGUACAGUUGUUUAUUUACAAUUAACAUUGCAGAAGAGUUAGAAAAGAUAUAACAUAAAGAUAAAAGGCAAACCUUAUUUAAUUUUUUCUUUUUGGAACCAUAUACAUUAGCCAGUCACUUAUUCUGCAUCUUUGCAAUGUGUUUUCAUGUGGAAGGACUUGUAGCUGACUGCAAGCUGUUCACAUUACUUGUACCUGAAAUUCUUAUAUCCAAGUACGUAUUAGAUGUAUUCAUUCUGCCAGAAAUGCUUCUCUUUGUUUUCCUUUUUUCUUUUUUACCCUUGUCCCUUCCUAUACAUCUUUUUAAACUCAUUUAAAUUCUAUCUCUACAAAAGGUUUCCCCUGAUCUAUUCUCUCUCCAUCCUGGCUGAUUUAAUUCCUCACUUUGAUGACUUAUCAGAGCUCUGUACCUCUCUCACUUUGUUUUCUGCAUUCACCCUUAACCAAAUUCUGUCUUGUAAUAUUGCCCAUCUAAAGUGGGACAUACUGCCGUUGCUGACUGUAUCUUAGGUUCCCGGAGAGCUGGAGCAAUGUUAUCUCUGUGACCUGUAUCCCUUACCAGGUCUAGCAUGGUUUGUUGUAUGGUAGUUAAUAUUCUUUUGUUGUUGUUGUUCUGUUUUUGCUCCUGCUGUAGUCAUAAGUGGCCUUUUUAAUAUUGCCUUUAUAAGUCUUUUUGUUAUCUGGUUAAAGGAAGAGAGCAAACAUGAUGUCCUCAAGACUAAAAAGAUUCAGACUUCCCUGUUUUCCUGUAAGACAGAACUGAAAGAAGCAUCGAUUUACAUUAAAAUGAAAAUAAUAACAACAUUAUUUAUUCAUGUCAAGGCUAUGAAAUAAAAUCAAGGGUUUGUCAUGAGGAGUUGAAAACUAAAAAAUAAGAAAUGUAUCUGAAUCUGUUGUCUCCUAGAGUAUAGGUAUCAACAAGGCCACUGUUCAGGAGUAUGGAUUUUAGGUACUCUUAUGGACUGAAUUUUGUCCCUCGAAAAUGCAUAUGUUGAAGUCCUAACUUCCAAUGUGAUAGCAUUUGAAAAUGGGGCCUUUAAGAUAUAAUUAAGGUUAGAUGGGGUCAUGAGGGUGGUGCCUCCAUGAUGGAGAUUAGUGCCCUUAUAAGAAUAAGAAGUGAUUAGUGUUCUCUCAGUAUCUUGCUUUAAUAUGUGUGGCUACAGUGAGAAGAUAGCAGUCUGUAGACAAGGAAGAGUCCCCUCCCUAAAACCUGACUACGUGGGAACCCUGAUCUUAAACUUGACAACAUUUAGAAUUGUGAGAAAUAAAUGUCUGUUGUUUAAGCCACACAGUCUAUGGUAUUUUGUCAUAGAAGCCUGAGCAAACUAAGACGGGUAUAUUGUUUAAAACGGCACUGAUAAUUCACCUGGAAGUAUAAAAUAUUCAGAGCUGCCUGAAAGUUAGUUAUACUAACUCAGCCAACCCAGUGAUAUGUACAGCAUAAUGAUGACAGGAAGAAAAAAAAAGCAUUUUCUGCAUGUUUUUUGUCCCACUGCUGUCUCCUUUCCCUGUCCCUGUGCAUUCCUUAUUAAGUUCAAUUGUAUUAUAGAUAACACCUUUUAUUACAGACUUUGCUUUCUCAUUACUUGAAGCUCAUUUUGAGUUACAAUCUAUGUAAUAUAAACUCAGAUGUGAGCCAGGAUUGAAGGACAUAACAAUAACUCAAUUUUUCUGUAAAACAAGUAGGAAGUUGUUCCCAUUUAUGAAUAAGGAGUCUAGAUUUAAACAUUCCUAUAGGAAAUGAUGAAAUACAGUUUGAGUUCCUAAGGUUAUAUAUACAUAAAAAAAAUUAGUCUCAGAGAAGUCAAGUAGCUUAUCUGAGAUCAUUUAGUAACAUGGGAUGAUUUGUGUCCAAAACUGAUAUUCAGUUUACUUGUUUUCUUUUUCAAAAGGCUAGCGCUUUUAUUUAAGUUGGGAAAUAUGAUCUCACUUUCACAAUUUCUCAAAGUGUAUCUCUAGAGAUAUUAAUAAGACUAUAUUAAGAAACAUGUCCUGGUUUGGGAGGCUGAGGCGGGCAGAUGGCUCAAGUUUGAGACCAGCCUGAGCAACAUGAUGAAACCCCAUCGCUACCAAAAAGUAUUUUUUAAAAAUUAGUCUGCCGGGCACAGGGGUUCACACUUGUAAUCCCAGCACUUUGCGGGCCAAGGUAGGCAGAUCACCUGAGGUCAGGAGUUCAAGACCAGGUUGGCCCACAUGGUGAGAUCCCGUCUCUACUAAAAAUACAAAAAAUUAGCUGGGCGUGGUGGUGCACACCUGUAAUCCCAGCUACUCAGGAGGCUUAGGCAGGAGAAUUGCUUGAACCCGGGAGGCGGAGUUUGCAGUGAGCUGAGAUCGCUCCACUUCACUCCAGCCUGGGCGACAGACUGCGUGAGACUUUGUCUCAAAAAAGUAAUAAUAAAAAAUUUAAAAAACCUCAAGUCAUAUGACCCAGCAAGUUUAUUUCUGACCCUCUUGGCUCUAGCCAAGAGAAAUAAUUAAAUAUAUACACAAAAAUGUUUGUAUAAAAUUAUGCAAAGCAUGCUAUUCAUUAUCACUAAAAACUGGAAACAAUUCAAAUGCCCAUCAACAGGGGAAUGGCGAAACACACUGUAGAAUAUUCAUACAAUAUAAUACCAAUAACAGAGAACAAACUACUAAUACAUGCAGUACCACGGAUGGAUCUUAAAAACAUGCUGAGUGAAAGAAGACAGAUGCAGAAAAAAAAUACCUACCGUAUCAUGCCAUUUACACAAAAUGCGAGAACAAGCAAAGCUAAUCAAUGAGAAUGGAAGUUAAAAUAAUGAUUCUCUUUUAGGAGACUUAGGUUGAAAAAAGAAGGCAAGAAAUUUCUGGAGUACAAUGUGAGUACAAUGUUUUGUUUGUUGACAAAGUGGUGGAUAUGCUGGUGUAAGCAUUUGGCAAGCAGCAUUAAGAUGAACAAUUAUGAUUAUGCAUUUUAUUGCAAAUAAAUUAUGCCUCAAUAAAUUACUGUGAACGUUAAUAAAAAUUGCUAUGGCAGAAAAAUUCAAUCUUCUUGAUUUUCUCAUUUAAGUAUCUUAUGAAUAAAAUAGUCAAGAAUUUCAACUGCUCUUUUUCCUUGUAUUUUUCCUUCUGCAUGCCAAUAGCAGUUCUUUUACACUACUCUUCCUGAAGAAAACAACAACAACAAAAAACUUGUUUGUAAUGACCUGUAAUUUGUAAUGAGCAAAUGCUUUCACAUACAUAAAACUUGCAGGAAGUCUCUGGAAUUAUAAAAGUUUCAACAGGAGAGCAGCUGGGUCUAAUGUAUGCAAUCCAAUAUAACACACUGCAUUAUAUCUAGGGAAUAUAUUAGCAAAAAUUACUUUUUAUUACAAAGCACUAGGCCUUCUAGAAAUUUUUUAUGACUCACUAAAACGGUAGCAAAGUGUAGAAUAUUUUGUUGUUGUUGCUGCAUUUUCCAGAAAC
Molecule: long non-coding RNA, 12031 nt
Filed under: Homo sapiens (human)
Lineage: Eukaryota; Metazoa; Chordata; Mammalia; Primates; Hominidae
Description: non-protein coding lnc-CPEB2-2:7
Source: RNAcentral